Small nuclear RNA from Phyllostomus hastatus (greater spear-nosed bat), 103 nucleotides. The record is from RefSeq and is a predicted model, not a curated record. NCBI's taxonomy places the organism in Eukaryota, Metazoa, Chordata, Mammalia, Chiroptera, Phyllostomidae.
GUGCUCCCUUCGGCAGCACAUAUACUAAAAUUGGAACGAUGAAGAGAUUAGUAUGGCCCCUGAAUAAGGGUGAUAUGCAAAUUCUGAAACGGUCCAUAUUUUU